RNAcentral lists this ribosomal RNA (377 nucleotides) under uncultured bacterium. RNAcentral's name for it is "bacterial SSU rRNA". It matches the Rfam family "Bacterial small subunit ribosomal RNA", at positions 523 to 898 of the family's 1533-position model. The record is from RNAcentral.
AUACGUAGGUGGCGAGCGUUGUCCGGAAUUACUGGGUGUAAAGGGCGUGUAGACGGGUAUGCAAGUCAGAUGUGAAAUUCCAGGGCUCAACCCUGGCGCUGCAUCUGAAACUGUAUAUCUUGAGUGCUAGAGAGGAAAGCGGAAUUCCUAGUGUAGCGGUGAAAUGCGUAGAUAUUAGGAGGAACACCAGUGGCGAAGGCGGCUUUCUGGACAGUAACUGACGUUGAGGCGCGAAAGCGUGGGGAGCAAACAGGAUUAGAUACCCUGGUAGUCCACGCCGUAAACGAUGGAUACUAGGUGUAGGAGGUAUCGACCCCUUCUGUGCCGGAGUUAACACAAUAAGUAUCCCACCUGGGGAGUACGGCCGCAAGGUUGAA